AUGAACGCUGGCGGCGUGCCUAAUACAUGCAAGUCGAGCGAACGGACGAGAAGCUUGCUUCUCUGAUGUUAGCGGCGGACGGGUGAGUAACACGUGGAUAACCUACCUAUAAGACUGGGAUAACUUCGGGAAACCGUAGCUAAUACCGGAUAAUAUUUUGAACCGCAUGGUUCAAAAGUGAAAGACGGUCUUGCUGUCACUUAUAGAUGGAUCCGCGCUGCAUUAGCUAGUUGGUAAGGUAACGGCUUACCAAGGCAACGAUGCAUAGCCGACCUGAGAGGGUGAUCGGCCACACUGGAACUGAGACACGGUCCAGACUCCUACGGGAGGCAGCAGUAGGGAAUCUUCCGCAAUGGGCGAAAGCCUGACGGAGCAACGCCGCGUGAGCGAUGAAGGUCUUCGGAUCGUAAAACUCUGUUAUUAGGGAAGAACAUAUGUGUAAGUAACUGUGCACAUCUUGACGGUACCUAAUCAGAAAGCCACGGCUAACUACGUG
This 496-nucleotide ribosomal RNA is filed under the name uncultured bacterium. RNAcentral's name for it is "partial 16S ribosomal RNA". It matches the Rfam family "Bacterial small subunit ribosomal RNA", at positions 29 to 507 of the family's 1533-position model. The record is from RNAcentral.